Molecule: ribosomal RNA, 516 nt
Filed under: uncultured bacterium
Lineage: Bacteria
Description: bacterial SSU rRNA
Rfam family: Bacterial small subunit ribosomal RNA
Source: RNAcentral
AGAGUUUGAUCCUGGCUCAGAUUGAACGCUGGCGGCAUGCCUUAAACAUGCAAGUCGAACGGUAACAGGUCAAGCUGACGAGUGGCGAACGGGUGAGUAAUAUAUCGGGACGUGCCCAGUCGUGGGGGCUAACUGCUCGAAAGAGCAGCUAAUACCGCAUACGACCUGAGGGUGAAAGCGGGGGAUAGCAAGACCUCGCGCGAUUGGAGCGGCCGAUAUCAGAUUAGGUAGUUGGUGGGGUAAAAGCCCACCAAGCCAACGAUCUGUAGCUGGUCUGAGAGGACGACCAGCCACCCUGGGACUGAGACACGGCCCAGACUCCUACGGGAGGCAGCAGUGGGGAAUUUUGGACAAUGGACGCAAGUCUGAUCCAGCCAUGCCGCGUGCGGGAAUAAGGCCUUCGGGUUGUAAACCGCUUUUGUCAGGGAAGAAAAGGUUCUGGUUAAUACCUGGAACUCAUGACGGUACCUGAAGAAUAAGCACCGGCUAACUACGUGCCAGCAGCCGCGGUAAUAC